UAGUAAUUAGUUUAACUAAAAUAAAUGGUUUCGACCCAUUAGAUUAUGAUCACCCAUAAUUACUAA
Molecule: transfer RNA, 66 nt
Filed under: Megaladapis edwardsi
Lineage: Eukaryota; Metazoa; Chordata; Mammalia; Primates; Lepilemuridae
Description: tRNA-Arg
Source: RNAcentral